Long non-coding RNA from Solanum dulcamara, 326 nucleotides. RefSeq lists it as uncharacterized. NCBI's taxonomy places the organism in Eukaryota, Viridiplantae, Streptophyta, Magnoliopsida, Solanales, Solanaceae. The record is from RefSeq and is a predicted model, not a curated record. The transcript has 4 exons.
ACGGAAUUACAAGAGAAAAAAAAACAAUAGAAGAGAGGAGAAGAGAAACUUAGGCUAGAAACAAGGAAAGAGCUACGAUUUUGGGAGGAGAAAAAGGCAGCCCAAAACGUUACCAAACAGUCCCUAAGUUUCAGCUGCGCUAAAGGAAAUUCCGAGGCAAGUUUUGGCGAGUUUUGGUGAAUUUCGGGAAAGGUUCAAGAGACGACGAGGCGAGCAUAGUUAAGAGUAAUUCGUAAGAGGUACAGAUGAUUGGUUUGCUGAUCCGCUCGCUUAGGACAUCCACCAUGUUGGUCGACAGUGCUCCUUUGUCCGGAGCCCUAUUUUGG